Molecule: ribosomal RNA, 477 nt
Filed under: uncultured bacterium
Lineage: Bacteria
Description: partial 16S ribosomal RNA
Rfam family: Bacterial small subunit ribosomal RNA
Source: RNAcentral
AUUGAACGCUGGCGGCAUGCCUUACACGUGCAAGUCGAACGGUAACAGGUUAAGCUGACGAGUGGCGAACGGGUGAGUAAUGUAUCGGAACGUGCCCAGUCGUGGGGGAUAACUGCUCGAAAGAGCAGCUAAUACCGCAUACGACCUGAGGGUGAAAGCGGGGGAUCGCAAGACCUCGCGCGAUUGGAGCGGCCGAUAUCAGAUUAGGUAGUUGGUGAGGUAAAGGCUCACCAAGCCGACGAUCUGUAGCUGGUCUGAGAGGACGACCAGCCACACUGGGACUGAGACACGGCCCAGACUCCUACGGGAGGCAGCAGUGGGGAAUUUUGGACAAUGGGCGCAAGCCUGAUCCAGCCAUGCCGCGUGCGGGAAGAAGGCCUUCGGGUUGUAAACCGCUUUUGUCAGGGAAGAAAAGGUUCUGGCUAAUACCUGGGACUCAUGACGGUACCUGAAGAAUAAGCACCGGCUAACUACGUG